GGACCAUCAUGUCGGUCGUGCCUCGGUACGUACUGGCAUCGUCGGUUUCUCCCUUCUGACGAACCAUGAUGUCAUUUAUUUUGGUGUCGUGGGGAAUCAGGACUGUUACUUUGAAAAAAUUAGAGUGUUUAAAGCAGGCUCACGCUUGAAUACAUUAGCAUGGAAUAAUGAAAUAGGACGUUUGAUUCUAUUUUGUUGGUUUCUAGGAUCGACGUA
Molecule: ribosomal RNA, 216 nt
Filed under: uncultured Glomus
Lineage: Eukaryota; Fungi; Glomeromycota; Glomeromycetes; Glomerales; Glomeraceae
Description: partial small subunit ribosomal RNA
Rfam family: Eukaryotic small subunit ribosomal RNA (bases 31-216)
Source: RNAcentral